CUACGGGUCGCUCCAGUGGGGAAUAUUGCACAAUGGGCGCAAGCCUGAUGCAGCCAUGCCGCGUGUAUGAAGAAGGCCUUCGGGUUGUAAAGUACUUUCAGCGGGGAGGAAGGGAGUAAAGUUAAUACCUUUGCUCAUUGACGUUACCCGCAGAAGAAGCACCGGCUAACUCCGUGCCAGCAGCCGCGGUAGUACGGAGGGUGCAAGCGUUAAUCGGAAUUACUGGGCGUAAAGCGCACGCAGGCGGUUUGUUAAGUCAGAUGUGAAAUCCCCGGGCUCAACCUGGGAACUGCAUCUGAUACUGGCAAGCUUGAGUCUCGUAGAGGGGGGUAGAAUUCCAGGUGUAGCGGUGAAAUGCGUAGAGAUCCGGAGGAAUACCGGUGGCGAAGGCGGCCCCCUGGACGAAGACUGACGCUCAGGUGCGAAAGCGUGGGGAGCAAACAGGAUUAGAUACCCUAGUAGUC
RNAcentral lists this ribosomal RNA (464 nucleotides) under uncultured bacterium. Its description in RNAcentral is "partial 16S ribosomal RNA". It matches the Rfam family "Bacterial small subunit ribosomal RNA", at positions 339 to 795 of the family's 1533-position model. The record is from RNAcentral.